This 827-nucleotide ribosomal RNA is filed under the name uncultured Mycoplasma sp. RNAcentral's name for it is "bacterial SSU rRNA". Lineage: Bacteria; Bacillati; Mycoplasmatota; Mollicutes; Mycoplasmatales; Mycoplasmataceae. The record is from RNAcentral.
AGUCGUUUGCUUCACUAGAGGAUCGGGGUGCGUAACAUUAGCUAGUUGGUAAGGUAAUGGCUUACCAAGGCGAUGAUGUUUAGCGGGGUUGAGAGACUGAUCCGCCACACUGGGACUGAGAUACGGCCCAGACUCCUACGGGAGGCAGCAGUAGGGAAUUUUCCACAAUGGACGAAAGUCUGAUGGAGCGACACAGCGUGCAGGAUGAAGGCCUUCGGGUUGUAAACUGCUGUUAUAAGGGAAGAAAAAACAGAGGAGGAAAUGCCAUUGUCUUGACGGUACCUUGUCAGAAAGCAACGGCUAACUAUGUGCCAGCAGCCGCGGUAAUACAUAGGUUGCAAGCGUUAUCCGGAAUUAUUGGGCGUAAAGCGUCUGUAGGUUGUGUGUUAAGUCUGACGUAAAAACUUGGGGCUCAACCCCAAAUAGCGUUGGAUACUGGCACGCUAGAAUUGUGUAGAGGUUAGCGGAAUUCCUAGUGAAGCGGUGAAAUGCGUAGAUAUUAGGAAGAACAUCAACAUGGCGAAGGCAGCUAACUGGGCACAUAUUGACACUGAGAGACGAAAGCGUGGGGAGCAAACAGGAUUAGAUACCCUGGUAGUCCACGCCGUAAACGAUGAUGAUUAGCUGAUGGGAACCAUCGGCGCAGCUAACGCAUUAAAUCAUCCGCCUGAGUAGUAUGCACGCAGUGUGAAACUUAAGGAAUUGACGGGAUCCGCACAAGCGGUGGAGCAUGUGGUUUAUUUGAGAUACGCGUAGAACCUUACCCUCUGACAUCUUCYGCAAGCUAUAAGAUAUAGUGGAGGUUACAGAGUGACAGAUGGUGCACA